This 279-nucleotide ribosomal RNA is filed under the name Staphylococcus aureus. RNAcentral's name for it is "partial 23S ribosomal RNA". It matches the Rfam family "Bacterial large subunit ribosomal RNA", at positions 2644 to 2925 of the family's 2925-position model. The record is from RNAcentral. Lineage: Bacteria; Bacillati; Bacillota; Bacilli; Caryophanales; Staphylococcaceae.
GUCGUGGGCGUAGGAAAUUUGAGAGGAGCUGUCCUUAGUACGAGAGGACCGGGAUGGACAUACCUCUGGUGUACCAGUUGUCGUGCCAACGGCAUAGCUGGGUAGCUAUGUGUGGACGGGAUAAGUGCUGAAAGCAUCUAAGCAUGAAGCCCCCCUCAAGAUGAGAUUUCCCAACUUCGGUUAUAAGAUCCCUCAAAGAUGAUGAGGUUAAUAGGUUCGAGGUGGAAGCAUGGUGACAUGUGGAGCUGACGAAUACUAAUCGAUCGAAGACUUAAUCAA